This 45-nucleotide non-coding RNA is filed under the name Schistosoma haematobium. The record is from RNAcentral. Lineage: Eukaryota; Metazoa; Platyhelminthes; Trematoda; Strigeidida; Schistosomatidae.
AUCCAGCUGAAGAGUCCCGAACAGGACGAAACGCGCGUUCUGGAU